UGUUUUUAUAGUUUUCAUUGUAGGGGUCUUUCACCUUCUUGGGCAAAUUUAUUCCUAGAUAUAUUUUAAAUAUUUUAUAGCUAUUUUAAAUGGGAUUGCUUUAUUGAUCCCAUUGAUUUCUUAUUCAGCUAGAUCAUUCUUGGUGUAUAAAGUACUACUAAUUUUUGCAUCCUAACUUUGUAUCCUGCAACUUUCCUGAAUUCAUUUAUCAGUUCUAAAAGUAUUUUUGGUGAAGUCCUUGGGUUUUUCUAUAUAUAAGAUCAUGACAUCCAUAACGAGGAUAGUGACUUCCUCCUUUCUAAUUCAAAUGCCCUUUAUUCCUUUAUUUUGCCUAAUUGCUAUGGCUGGGACUUCCAUUAGUAUGUUGAAUAACAGUGGUGGAAGUAAGUAUUUGUGUCUUGUUCCAGAUCUUAGAGGACAGACUUUCAGCUUUUCCCUCAUUAAGUAUGAUAUUAGCUGUGGGUUUGUCAUAUAUUGCCUUUUAUUGUUUUGAGAUAUGUUUCUUCUUUGCCUAAUUUCCUGAGAGUUUGUAUCAUGAAGUGAUGCUGAAAUUUAUCAAAUGCUUUUUCUGCAUCUAUUGAGAUCAUUGUAUGGGUUUUGUUCUUUAUUCUAUAUCACAGUGAUUGACUGGCAUGUGUUGAACCAUCCUUGCAUGCCUGGGAUAAGUCUCACCUGAUCAGGGAGUAUUAUCUCUUUAAUGUGUUGUUGGGUUCAGUUUGCUAGUAUUUUGUUGACAACUUUUGCCUCUGAGUUCACUGGGGAUUUUGGCCUGUAGUUGCUCUUUUGGUGUGUCUGGUUUGGGCAUUAGGCCAAUGCUGACCUGGUAGAAUGAAUUAGGAAGAAUUCUCUCAACUUCCAGUUUUUUAGAAUAGUUUAAAAAGAAUUGGUGUUAGUUCUUUUUUAUAUGUUUGGUAGAAUUCAGAGGUAAAGUCAUCUGAUGCUGGGCCUUUCUUUGUUGGGAGACUUUAUUACUGAUUCCAUCGUUUACCAACUUUGUGAUGAUAAUAAGCAAGUUACUUUACUACUCUUAGGCUUUUUAUUUUCUUAUCUAUAAAUUGAGGAUGGUAAUAAUAUCUAUCUUACACAGGUAUUACAUGUAAAGCUUGACAUGUUAAGCAGAUGUUACAUAUUAUUAUUGAUGUAUUUUAAUAAAUUUGAGAAUAGAAUAAUGUAGCAUAGGCCUAAGAGUUAGGCUAUGAGUUGGGAAAUGCACGAUACAUAGUUGUAACAUUAAAUAGGAAAGGACAGAUACUUUAUAGAGUUAAAUAGGAAAGGACAGAAACAUUAUAGAUGAAGAUUUUAAAAUUUUAUAUAGCUUU
This is a long non-coding RNA of Sapajus apella (tufted capuchin), 1319 nucleotides long. RefSeq lists it as uncharacterized. The record is from RefSeq and is a predicted model, not a curated record. Lineage: Eukaryota; Metazoa; Chordata; Mammalia; Primates; Cebidae. The transcript has 2 exons.